This 801-nucleotide ribosomal RNA is filed under the name uncultured bacterium. Its description in RNAcentral is "bacterial SSU rRNA". It matches the Rfam family "Bacterial small subunit ribosomal RNA", at positions 71 to 874 of the family's 1533-position model. The record is from RNAcentral.
AGCACGGACUUCGGUCUGGUGGCGAGUGGCGAACGGGUGAGUAACAUAUCGGAACGUAUCCAAUAAUGGGGGAUAACUAAUCGAAAGGUUGGCUAAUACCGCAUACGCCCUACGGGGGAAAGCUAGGGACCUUCGGGCCUGGCGUUAAUGGAGCGGCCGAUAUCUGAUUAGCUAGUUGGUGGGGUAAAGGCCCACCAAGGCGACGAUCAGUAGCUGGUCUGAGAGGACGACCAGCCACACUGGAACUGAGACACGGUCCAGACUCCUACGGGAGGCAGCAGUGGGGAAUUUUGCACAAUGGGCGAAAGCCUGAUCCAGCCAUCCCGCGUGUAGGAUGACAGCCCUACAGGUCGUAAACUACUUUUGCUUGGGAAGAAACCCCUGGAUUUACUCCGGGGCUGACGGUACCUUGCGAAUAAGCACCGGCUAACUCCGUGCCAGCAGCCGCGGUAAUACGGAGGGUGCAAGCGUUAUCCGGAAUCACUGGGUUUAAAGGGUGCGUAGGCGGCGUUAUAAGUCAGAGGUGAAAGCUUGCAGCUUAACUGUAAAAUUGCCUCUGAUACUGUAGUGCUUGAAUCAGGUUGAGGUCAGCGGAAUGUGGCAUGUAGCGGUGAAAUGCAUAGAUAUGCCAUAGAACACCAAUUGCGAAGGCAGCUGGCUGGGCCUGUAUUGACGCUGAGGCACGAAAGCGUGGGUAGCGAACAGGAUUAGAUACCCUGGUAGUCCACGCCCUAAACGAUGCUAACUCGAUAUGUGUCCUUUUGGGUGCAUGUCUAAGGGAAACCAAUAAGUUAGCCACCU